RNAcentral lists this transfer RNA (88 nucleotides) under Nitrospira sp. RNAcentral's name for it is "tRNA-Ser". It matches the Rfam family "tRNA". From Rfam's summary of the family: Transfer RNA (tRNA) molecules are approximately 80 nucleotides in length. Their secondary structure includes four short double-helical elements and three loops (D, anti-codon, and T loops). The record is from RNAcentral. RNAcentral also lists the same sequence under 2 other names. Lineage: Bacteria; Pseudomonadati; Nitrospirota; Nitrospiria; Nitrospirales; Nitrospiraceae.
GGAGAGGUGCGAGAGUGGCCGAAUCGGGCGGUCUCGAAAACCGUUGACCCGAAAGGGUCCGUGGGUUCGAAUCCCACCCUCUCCGCCA